AGUGCUUCUCAGUCUAAGAUCAAGUGUAGUAUCUGUUCUCAUCAGCUUAAUAUCUAAUUGUCCACACUCACGUCACAUAAUAGUUUAAAAAAUAAUCACCCAAU
This is a small nuclear RNA of 104 nucleotides. Its record names the gene U2. It matches the Rfam family "U2 spliceosomal RNA". From Rfam's summary of the family: U2 is a small nuclear RNA (snRNA) component of the spliceosome (involved in pre-mRNA splicing). Complementary binding between U2 snRNA (in an area lying towards the 5' end but 3' to hairpin I) and the branchpoint sequence (BPS) of the intron results the bulging out of an unpaired adenosine, on the BPS, which initiates a nucleophilic attack at the intronic 5' splice site, thus starting the first of two transesterification reactions that mediate splicing. The record is from Ensembl.